UUAUCCGAAGGAAAACCAUAAUCAAGUGUUGCGGCUUCAAAAGAUGCUUGCCUUCCGUGAUGAAGAAACGGCCGAUGAACAACACGCCAACUACAUUGGACCAAGAGAGCAAAGCCAACAGGCUGCCAACAACGCUGCUGGCGAAUUCAGUGGAAACGACAGGAAACUGGGGCGAGAGUGACGUCACCAAACCAACAACAGUCGAAGCGAUGAUGAGUAAAAAUCAGCACGAACUUAUUAUUUACGACAUUAAAUAUUUUAUGAUUAAUCGCUGUAUUUAUUUUAAAUGUCAAAUAUUUUCUUAAAAAAAGCACAGGAAUCAAUAAGCCCCAACGACAGAGUGGAAUCGACUGUAAAGUCUGAGACUAGCACCACUCAAAAAGCUGAUCAAUCAAGCAAAUCGACGGUUCUUCUCCUUGAAACGUCCAGUAGCGCCAUGACGGCUAAAUUGAACACUUCCCCGUCUUCAACAACCUCUGCAGAUACAACAACAACAACCACAAAUGCUGCAUCUACAACAGUGACGACCACAACACCAAAAGCAGCAGCAACAACAGCAGCCACGACUAUGAUAAAAAUGACAACAACAACCACCAAAAUACCACCAACUACUGCGACACCUAAGCCGUGCACCUUGUCUUGCACAGAUUUCAACGACUUUAUGUUGAGCACACCAUCGAUCAAACCCUCUUCUUCCGAUGGUUCUGUGCAAGGUGUGAGCACGUGCCAAAAGAAAUAUUAUGUUUCUAGCGUAACUGCUCCGAGAAAUGAAGCUGCUUUGCGAUGCAAGUCGAUGAAAAUGGCGCUCUUGGCUGUCACUUCUAUCGCGGAAUUGGAAUGUCUUUCCAAUCUGAAAGGUUUUUUUAAUCUAAAUAUUUAUCGAGGUCUGCAUGUAUUGAAUAUAUCCUGAUUAGAGGGUUCUUAUUGGACAAGUGGAUCUAAUGAGGAUGAAAAUUGCAAUUUGGCGAAAAAAUACGCGUGGUGCUCGACGGGCUCCGAUAUUUCAACAACCCUCACGUCUUCGUCCAAGUUUUGGCUGCCGACCAACACAAUCCCUUCCU
Molecule: long non-coding RNA, 1061 nt
Organism: Cloeon dipterum
Lineage: Eukaryota; Metazoa; Arthropoda; Insecta; Ephemeroptera; Baetidae
Exons: 6
Source: RefSeq, a predicted model, not a curated record